UACAGAGGGUGCGAACGUUGCUCGGAAUAACUGGGCGUAAAGCGCGUGUAGGCGGUCCGUUAAGUCGGCUGUGAAAUCCCAUAGCUUAACUAUGGAAGUGCAGUCGAUACUGGCGGACUUGAAUCCUGGAGAGGGUGGUAGAAUUCCUGGUGUAGAGGUGAAAUUCGUAGAUAUCAGGAGGAAUACCGGUGGCGAAGGCGACCACCUGGACGGGUAUUGACGCUGAGACGCGAAAGCGUGGGGAGCAAACAGG
Molecule: ribosomal RNA, 253 nt
Filed under: uncultured bacterium
Lineage: Bacteria
Description: partial 16S ribosomal RNA
Rfam family: Bacterial small subunit ribosomal RNA
Source: RNAcentral